This is a long non-coding RNA of Clupea harengus (Atlantic herring), 1789 nucleotides long. NCBI's taxonomy places the organism in Eukaryota, Metazoa, Chordata, Actinopteri, Clupeiformes, Clupeidae. The record is from Ensembl.
CGUAGCAGGAAUCUACACGUUGAACAGGCGUUUUGUUUUUCUUUCGCUGUGCCACAUUGUGACGCAUGCCUUUGCCACGUGUCCCCACAUGUGCCAGCCAAACCUUGUUUAAGCCCUUGCUAUGCAUUAUAUAGCUGCCAUGUCUAGCUCCAAAGACAAUACAAAAGCCCACUAAGAACACUUCUUAACCACUCGCGGGCUGGUUCAAUGAUUAGCUUUGACACAGGAAAUGCAUAUUGCGUCAUUUAUGUUACACAGUAGGUGAUGGAGUUGCUGUUAUUGUGGGAUAUGGGAUUUAAUUCCUCUACUUUGAUUGUUAUGGUUCGACUGAAUGCCAAUGCUUAUGUUAAACAAGAAGAGAGAGGGAGAGAGGCAAGAGAGAGUAUUUGUGAUAGACAAAGAGAUGGGUGAGAGAGAGGACAAACCAAGAGAGGGAAAGAAGAAGACAGAAAAAGAGAGGAAAAACCAAGAGAGGGAAAGAGAGGACAAACCAAGAGAGGGAAAGAGAGGACAAACCAAGAGAGGGAAAGAAAGAGAGAGGGAAAGAGAGGACAAACCAAGAGAGGGAAAGAAAGAGAUGACAAACCAAGAGAGGGAAAGAAAGAGAGAGGGAAAGAGAUGACAAACCAAGAGAGGGAAAGAAAGAGAGAGGGAAUAAGAUGACAAACCAAGAGAGGGAAAGAAAGAGAAAGAGAUGACAAACCAAGAGAGGGAAAGAAAGAGAGAGGGAAGGAGAGGACAAACCAAGAGAGGGAAAGAAAGAGAGAGGGAAAGAGAUGACAAACCAAGAGAGGGAAAGAAAGAGAGGACAACAAGAGAGAGAAAGAAAGAGAGAAGGAAAAGGGAGAGAGGGAAAGCGGGAGCUUCCCCCAGUUCUCCCGGGUGCCCGCAGCAUCAUUUGUUUUUCCUGCUGACUUUGCACCCUCUUGCCUCUCUUUCCACCACACACACGCACACACACACACACACACACACACACACACACACACCACAUACACACACACACCCACACACACACCCCACACACACACACAGGUGCAGGGUAAAAACAUCCUUUUGCUUCUUCAUACUUACAGUAUGAGAAUGUACCACUCAAAUCUGCUGUUGAUUACAGAAUGAAUUACAUUCCUGUAUUUUAAACCAGAUAUACAUAACACAUUUGAACACAAGAUGUACACAUAGCACAGUAGCUGAAUACACACAGUGAUACAGAUUGAUGUAAAAGUGUGUGUUGUGUAUGUAUGGUCUUAGCUGUAAGUGUUAUGUAACUGUAAGUGUUAUGUUAUGUUAUCUUAUGAGAGGGUGUGACUGAGGGUGUGUUACUUACACUCUGUGUCAUUGUCUUGUUAUGUUGUUUGACCUAUGAAACGCCAGAUAAGAAUAGACUGCAUGCAUGUAUGCACUGAGGCAGUGUUUAUGUGUGUGUGUGUGUGUGUGUGUGUGUGUGUGUGUGUGUGUGUGUGUGUGUGUGAGUGUGUGUGUGAUGAAUGUGUGAUGAAUGUAGUUUUCAUGCGUCUCUUUGUGUGUUGAUGAACAUGCAUGUGGAUUCAUAAUUAGGUGAGUUUGUGUGUGUGUGUUUAGGGGAUUGUGUCAUACUGUAUGUGUGUGUGUGUGUGUGUGUGUGUGUGUGUGUGUGAGAAAGAGAGUGUGUGUGAGAAAGAGUGUGUGUGUGUGAGGACACCCCUAGUAGGCCCAGCUGUGGUGGAAACCCCUGUCGGUGCAGUGUGGGCCUCCCCUCUCUGCUCUGAAAGUGUAGGCCCCAUGAAUAAUUCACUAAGUGCUCUCCCCC